AGCCGCGGUAAUUCCAGCUCCAAUAGCGUAUAUUAAAGUUGUUGCAGUUAAAAAGCUCGUAGUUGAAUUUCGAGAUCAAUUUGUUGGUCGUGCCUCGGUACGUACUGGCAAUUUUGAUUUCUCCCUUCUGAAGAACCAUGAUGUCAUUAAUUUGGUGUCAUGGGGAAUCAGGACCGUUACUUUGAAAAAAUUAGAGUGUUUAAAGCAGGCUCGCGCUUGAAUACAUUAGCAUGGAAUAAUGAAAUAGGACGUUUGAUUCUAUUUUGUUGGUUUCUAGGAUCGACGUAAUGAUUAAUAGGGAUAGUUGGGGGCAUUAGUAUUCAAUUGUCAGAGGUGAAAUUCUUGGAUUUAUUGAAGACUAACUACUGCGAAAGCAUUUGCCAAGGAUGUUUUCAUUAAUCAAGAACGAAAGUUAGGGGAUCGAAGACGAUCAGAUACCGUCGUAGUCUUAACCAUAAACUAUGCCGACUAGGGAUCGGAUGAUGUUAAUUUUUUAAUGACUCAUUCGGCGCCUUACG
This 518-nucleotide ribosomal RNA is filed under the name uncultured Glomus. RNAcentral describes it as "SSU rRNA". It matches the Rfam family "Eukaryotic small subunit ribosomal RNA", at positions 572 to 1092 of the family's 1831-position model. The record is from RNAcentral. Lineage: Eukaryota; Fungi; Glomeromycota; Glomeromycetes; Glomerales; Glomeraceae.